RNAcentral lists this ribosomal RNA (253 nucleotides) under uncultured bacterium. RNAcentral's name for it is "partial 16S ribosomal RNA". It matches the Rfam family "Bacterial small subunit ribosomal RNA", at positions 524 to 776 of the family's 1533-position model. The record is from RNAcentral.
GACAGAGGGUGCAAACGUUGUUCGGAAUUACUGGGCGUAAAGCGCGUGUAGGCGGCAGCGCAAGUCGGAUGUGAAAUCCCAUGGCUCAACCCCGGAGGUGCAUCCGAAACUCUGGGGCUGGAGGUCGGAAGAGGAGGGUGGAAUACCCAGUGUAGAGGUGAAAUUCGUAGAUAUUGGGUGGAACACCGGUGGCGAAAGCGGCUCUCUGGUCCGGACCUGACGCUGAGGCGCGAAAGCGUGGGGAGCAAACAGG